This 253-nucleotide ribosomal RNA is filed under the name uncultured bacterium. RNAcentral describes it as "partial 16S ribosomal RNA". It matches the Rfam family "Bacterial small subunit ribosomal RNA", at positions 524 to 776 of the family's 1533-position model. The record is from RNAcentral.
UACGGGGGGAGCAAGCGUUGUUCGGAUUUACUGGGCGUAAAGGGCGCGUAGGCGGGUUGGCAAGUCAGUCGUGAAAUCUCUCGGCUCAACCGAGAAACGUCGGCUGAUACUGCCGUUCUUGAGGGAUGCAGAGGAGACUGGAAUUCCCGGUGUAGCGGUGAAAUGUGUAGAGAUCGGGAGGAACACCGGUGGCGAAGGCGGGUCUCUGGGCAUUUCCUGACGCUGAGGCGCGAAAGCGUGGGGAGCAAACGGG